CCUACGGGCGGCAGCAGUGGGGAAUAUUGCGCAAUGGGCGAAAGCCUGACGCAGCGACGCCGCGUGAGGGAUGAAGGUCUUCGGAUCGUAAACCUCUGUCAGCAGGGAAGAACGGUCACGGGGCUAAGCAGCAGUGAAUUGACGGUACCGGCAAAGGAAGCACCGGCUAACGCCGUGCCAGCAGCCGCGGUAAUACGGAGGGUGCGAGCGUUAAGCGGAUUUACUGGGCGUAACGCGCUCGUAGGCGGUAUGUCAAGUCAAGGGUGAAAUCCCCGCGCGCCACGUGGGAACUGCCUUUGAAACUGGCAAACUGGAGUGUGUGAGAGUAUAGUGGAAUUCCUGGUGU
This 346-nucleotide ribosomal RNA is filed under the name uncultured bacterium. RNAcentral describes it as "partial 16S ribosomal RNA". It matches the Rfam family "Bacterial small subunit ribosomal RNA", at positions 338 to 676 of the family's 1533-position model. The record is from RNAcentral.